AAGACCUUGCGCUUUUGGAGCGGCCGAUGCCUGAUUAGCUUGUUGGUGAGGUAAAAGCUCACCAAGGCUUCGAUCAGUAGCUGGUCUGAGAGGACGACCAGCCACACUGGGUCUGAGACACGGCCCAGACUCCUACGGGAGGCAGCAGUGGGGAAUUUUGGACAAUGGGGGCAACCCUGAUCCAGCCAUGCCGCGUGAGUGAAGAAGGCCUUCGGGUUGUAAAGCUCUUUCAGCCGGAACGAAACGGUCACGGCUAAUACCUGUGACUACUGACGGUACCGGAAGAAGAAGCACCGGCUAACUACGUGCCAGCAGCCGCGGUAAUACGUAGGGUGCGAGCGUUAAUCGGAAUUACUGGGCGUAAAGCGUGCGCAGGCGGUUUUGUAAGUCAGAUGUGAAAUCCCCGGGCUUAACCUGGGAACU
This 423-nucleotide ribosomal RNA is filed under the name uncultured bacterium. RNAcentral describes it as "bacterial SSU rRNA". It matches the Rfam family "Bacterial small subunit ribosomal RNA", at positions 207 to 622 of the family's 1533-position model. The record is from RNAcentral.